AAAAACUGGAAACGUGUAAAAAAUGUUUCAUACACGACGUCGAACGGGAUUUUGAAUUGAAUCGAUUGUAACGUAAAAUGAAAAUUGAGUCAUCUAUUUGUCGACUUUUACUCGAAGCAACAACUUUCAUAGGCGUGCAAAAUAGUCAGCGCAACGCAAGAAUAUCGCCCAAAAGUCGAUUCGAGUGAAUCUAGGAAAGAUGCCAACGCUGUUACAACUGUUUUGUUAGUACAAGCCCAUAAUGGUAAGUCGACUCCUCCGG
This is a long non-coding RNA of Trichogramma pretiosum, 262 nucleotides long. RefSeq lists it as uncharacterized. Lineage: Eukaryota; Metazoa; Arthropoda; Insecta; Hymenoptera; Trichogrammatidae. The transcript is spliced from 3 exons. The record is from RefSeq and is a predicted model, not a curated record.